RNAcentral lists this ribosomal RNA (253 nucleotides) under uncultured bacterium. Its description in RNAcentral is "partial 16S ribosomal RNA". It matches the Rfam family "Bacterial small subunit ribosomal RNA", at positions 524 to 776 of the family's 1533-position model. The record is from RNAcentral.
GACGAACCGUGCGAACGUUGUUCGGAAUCACUGGGCUUAAAGGGCGCGUAGGCGGGCCGUCAAGUCCGGGGUGAAAUCCUCCAGCCUAACUGGAGAAGAGCCUCGGAGACUGGCGGUCUUGAGGGGGGUAGGGGCAAGCGGAACUAUGGGUGGAGCGGUGAAAUGCAUUGAUAUCCAUAGGAACUCCGGUGGCGAAGGCGGCUUGCUGGACCCCAUCUGACGCUGAGGCGCGAAAGCCAGGGGAGCAAACGGG